Molecule: ribosomal RNA, 917 nt
Filed under: uncultured bacterium
Lineage: Bacteria
Description: bacterial SSU rRNA
Rfam family: Bacterial small subunit ribosomal RNA
Source: RNAcentral
ACGCUGGCGGCGUGCCUAAUACAUGCAAGUCGAACGAGAGCGACCGGUGCUAGCACUGGUCAAUCUAGUGGCGAACGGGUGAGUAACACGUGGGUAACCUGCCCAUCAGAGGGGGAUAACAUUCGGAAACGGAUGCUAAAACCGCAUAGGUCUUCGAACCGCAUGGUUUGAAGAGGAAAAGAGGCGCAAGCUUCUGCUGAUGGAUGGACCCGCGGUGCAUUAGCUAGUUGGUGAGGUAACGGCUCACCAAGGCCGUGAUGCAUAGCCGACCUGAGAGGGUGAUCGGCCACAUUGGGACUGAGACACGGCCCAAACUCCUACGGGAGGCAGCAGUAGGGAAUCUUCCGCAAUGGACGCAAGUCUGACGGAGCAACGCCGCGUGAGCGAAGAAGGUUUUCGGAUCGUAAAACUCUGUUGUUAGAGAAGAACAAGUGCUAGAGUAACUGUUAGCACCUUGACGGUAUCUAACCAGAAAGCCACGGCUAACUACGUGCCAGCAGCCGCGGUAAUACGUAGGUGGCAAGCGUUGUCCGGAUUUAUUGGGCGUAAAGCGAGCGCAGGCGGUUCCUUAAGUCUGAUGUGAAAGCCCCCGGCUCAACCGGGGAGGGUCAUUGGAAACUGGGGAACUUGAGUGCAGAAGAGGAGAGUGGAAUUCCAUGUGUAGCGGUGAAAUGCGUAGAUAUAUGGAGGAACACCAGUGGCGAAGGCGACUCUCUGGUCUGUAACUGACGCUGAGGCUCGAAAGCGUGGGUAGCAAACAGGAUUAGAUACCCUGGUAGUCCACGCCGUAAACGAUGAGUGCUAAGUGUUGGAGGGUUUCCGCCCUUCAGUGCUGCAGUUAACGCAUUAAGCACUCCGCCUGGGGAGUACGACCGCAAGGUUGAAACUCAAAGGAAUUGACGGGGACCCGCACAAGC